This 343-nucleotide non-coding RNA is filed under the name Anaerolineae bacterium. RNAcentral's name for it is "T-box sequence". It matches the Rfam family "T-box leader". Rfam says of the family: Uncharged tRNA acts as the effector for transcription antitermination of genes in the T-box leader family. T-boxes are found upstream of many aminoacyl-tRNA synthetase genes and some amino acid biosynthetic genes usually in Gram-positive bacteria. The anticodon of a specific tRNA base pairs to a specifier sequence within the T-box motif, and the NCCA acceptor tail of the tRNA base pairs to a conserved bulge in the T-box antiterminator hairpin. Lineage: Bacteria; Bacillati; Chloroflexota; Anaerolineae. The record is from RNAcentral.
CGAAAAGCUAUGAAGAGGACGAGUAAGCGCCAGGAGAAUGGCCCAGAGAGCGGGGGAAAGGUGAAAGCCCCGCCCAGACGCCGGCGAUGAAUGGACCUCGGAGCUGCAGGGCGAACGGGGCAGAGCAUGAAUCUGCUCGACAAGUAGCCUGUGCCGGAGUUGCCACCGUUAUCAGGGUCAAGGGUAUAAGCGACGUCCAUCGUCGGCGUUGCCGUACUCGAAUUGAGUGAGGCUGGCUCGUGUCACCCGUCGUCAUCACGACGGGUGUUUUGUUUUCCGGGCCCAACCGGAGAACGCCGGCCUAACCAGGGUGGCACCGCGGGAGCCCUCUCCCGUCCCUGUG